RNAcentral lists this ribosomal RNA (414 nucleotides) under uncultured microorganism. RNAcentral describes it as "bacterial SSU rRNA". It matches the Rfam family "Archaeal small subunit ribosomal RNA", at positions 459 to 872 of the family's 1478-position model. The record is from RNAcentral.
CAGCCGCCGCGGUAAUACCGGCGGCCCGAGUGGCGGUCACUAUUAUUGGGCUUAAAGCGUCCGUAGCCGGGUUGGGAAGUCCUCCGGGAAAUCUGGCCGCUUAACGGUCAGAAUGCCGGAGGAUACUCCCAGCCUAGGGAGCGGGAGAGGCCGAGGGGCUUCCCGGAGUAGGGGUGAAAUCCUAUAAUCCCGGGAGGACCACCUGUGGCGAAGGCGCUCGGCUGGAACGCGUCCGACGGUGAGGGACGAAGGCCAGGGGAGCAAACCGGAUUAGAUACCCGGGUAGUCCUGGCUGUAAACGAUGCGGACGUUGUGUCGGACAAGCUAUGAGCUUGUCCGGUGCCGGAGGGAAACCGUUAAGUCCGCCGCCUGGGGAGUACGGCCGCAAGGCUGAAACUUAAAGGAAUUGGCGGG